Molecule: ribosomal RNA, 549 nt
Filed under: uncultured bacterium
Lineage: Bacteria
Description: bacterial SSU rRNA
Rfam family: Bacterial small subunit ribosomal RNA
Source: RNAcentral
UGGGGAAUCUUGCGCAAUGGGCGAAAGCCUGACGCGGCGACGCCGCGUGAGCGAUGAAGGCCCUCGGGUCGUAAAGCUCUGUGGGGAGGAAAGAAUAAGAGCAGGCGAAUACCCUGCUUGAUGACGGUACCUCCUUAGCAAGCACCGGCUAACUCUGUGCCAGCAGCCGCGGUAAUACAGAGGGUGCAAACGCUGUUCGGAAUCACUGGGCGUAAAGCGGGUGUAGGCGGCUUGGUAAGUCGGGUGUGAAAUCCCAGGGCUCAACCCUGGACGUGCACUCGAAACUACUAGGCUUGGGUUCUGGAGAGGAAGGCGGAAUGCUUGGUGUAGAGGUGAAAUUCGUAGAUAUCAAGCGGAACACCGGUGGCGAAGGCGGCCUUCUGGACAGUGACUGACGCUGAGACCCGAAAGCGUGGGGAGCAAACAGGAUUAGAUACCCUGGUAGUCCACGCCGUAAACGAUGAGUGCUAGGUGUCACGGGAAUUGACCCCUGUGGUGCCGUAGCUAACGCGUUAAGCACUCCGCCUGGGGAGUACGGCCGCAAGGCUA